Molecule: ribosomal RNA, 1482 nt
Filed under: Micrococcus endophyticus
Lineage: Bacteria; Bacillati; Actinomycetota; Actinomycetes; Micrococcales; Micrococcaceae
Description: partial 16S ribosomal RNA
Rfam family: Bacterial small subunit ribosomal RNA
Source: RNAcentral
CGUCAAUGGCCUUACCAUGCAGUCGAACGAUGAAGCCCAGCUUAUUUUACCCGUGUUUGUACCCGCUGGGUGGAUUAGUGGCGAACGGGUGAGUAACACGUGAGUAACCUGCCCUUGACUCUGGGAUAAGCCUGGGAAACUGGGUCUAAUACCGGAUAGGAACGUCCACCGCAUGGUGGGUGUUGGAAAGAUUUAUCGGUCAUGGAUGGACUCGCGGCCUAUCAGCUUGUUGGUGAGGUAAUGGCUCACCAAGGCGACGACGGGUAGCCGGCCUGAGAGGGUGACCGGCCACACUGGGACUGAGACACGGCCCAGACUCCUACGGGAGGCAGCAGUGGGGAAUAUUGCACAAUGGGCGAAAGCCUGAUGCAGCGACGCCGCGAAGAAGCACCGGCUAACUACGUGCCAGCAGCCGCGGUAAUACGUAGGGUGCGAGCGUUAUCCGGAAUUAUUGGGCGUAAAGAGCUCGUAGGCGGUUUGUCGCGUCUGUCGUGAAAGUCCGGGGCUUAACCCCGGAUCUGCGGUGGGUACGGGCAGACUAGAGUGCAGUAGGGGAGACUGGAAUUCCUGGUGUAGCGGUGGAAAUCGUUCAAUUGGACUGAAUGCCGUUGCGCAGAUAUCAGGAGGAACACCGAUGGCGAAGGCAGGUCUCUGGGCUGUAACUGACGCUGAGGAGCGAAAGCAUGGGGAGCGAACAGGAUUAGAUACCCUGGUAGUCCAUGCCGUAAACGUUGGGCACUAGGUGUGGGGACCAUUCCACGGUUUCCGCGCCGCAGCUAACGCAUUAAGUGCCCCGCCUGGGGAGUACGGCCGCAAGGCUAAAACUCAAAGGAAUUGACGGGGGCCCGCACAAGCGGCGGAGCAUGCGGAUUAAUUCGAUGCAACGCGAAGAACCUUACCAAGGCUUGACAUGUUCUCGAUCGCCGUAGAGAUACGGUUUCCCCUUUGGGGCGGGAUCACAGGUGGUGCAUGGUUGUCGUCAGCUCGUGUCGUGAGAUGUUGGGUUAAGUCCCGCAACGAGCGCAACCCUCGUUCCAUGUUGCCAGCACGUAAUGGUGGGGACUCAUGGGAGACUGCCGGGGUCAACUCGGAGGAAGGUGGGGACGACGUCAAAUCAUCAUGCCCCUUAUGUCUUGGGCUUCACGCAUGCUACAAUGGCCGGUACAAUGGGUUGCGAUACUGUGAGGUGGAGCUAAUCCCAAAAAGCCGGUCUCAGUUCGGAUUGGGGUCUGCAACUCGACCCCAUGAAGUCGGAGUCGCUAGUAAUCGCAGAUCAGCAACGCUGCGGUGAAUACGUUCCCGGGCCUUGUACACACCGCCCGUCAAGUCACGAAAGUCGGUAACACCCGAAGCCGGUGGCCUAACCCUUGUGGGGGGAGCUGUCGAAGGUGGGACCAGCGAUUGGACUAAGUCGAUCGUACGGGCGUUAUUUGCCCUUAACCUGUAACUGACGCUGAGGCAAGAGCAGUCAAUUCCAAUGUG